GGGGACGUUACGGAUUCGACAGGGAUAGUUCGAGCUGUAGCUGCGAGUCGAGGGGAUCGUCCUCGUCAAAACGUCAAAGCCAAUAAUAACUGGCAAACAAAACAACAACUUCGCUUUAGCUGCUUAAUAACAGUCUAUAGCGGUUCCUCCCUCCAUCGCCCAUGUGGUAGGGUAAGGGACUCACUCUAAGUGGGCUACGCCUGAUGCCUCCGUCUGGGGAUAAGGGAAGAGAUCAAUCAGACUAGUUGCUCCGACGCCCGUUGAUAGGCAUACGAGUCAGCGAAUCGCAAAUAUAUCAACUAUACUCGUAGACGCUAUGGUGCCGAUGUUUCUGGACGUGGGUUCGACUCCCACCGUCUCCACCA
RNAcentral lists this transfer-messenger RNA (365 nucleotides) under Bacillaceae. RNAcentral's name for it is "Bacillus_P indicus Standard tmRNA". It matches the Rfam family "transfer-messenger RNA". From Rfam's summary of the family: Bacterial tmRNA, also known as 10Sa RNA or SsrA, is named for its dual tRNA and mRNA-like properties. RNAcentral also lists the same sequence under 1 other name. Lineage: Bacteria; Bacillati; Bacillota; Bacilli; Caryophanales. The record is from RNAcentral.